AGUCAAGGUCCGGAGUCCAUGGGUUAACUUGAACCCCCAACCCCAUGGACACUAACUUGACCUGUC
RNAcentral lists this small RNA (66 nucleotides) under Pristionchus pacificus. RNAcentral describes it as "Nematode sRNA ceN72-3_ceN74-2". It matches the Rfam family "Nematode sRNA ceN72-3_ceN74-2". The record is from Rfam by way of RNAcentral. Lineage: Eukaryota; Metazoa; Nematoda; Chromadorea; Rhabditida; Neodiplogasteridae.